This 281-nucleotide long non-coding RNA is filed under the name Salmo salar (Atlantic salmon). RNAcentral describes it as "lncRNA (ENSSSAG00000105706.1)". Lineage: Eukaryota; Metazoa; Chordata; Actinopteri; Salmoniformes; Salmonidae. The record is from RNAcentral.
GUGGUGGUUGUCUGCUGGUUCUGAGUGUGGGAGGAUGGGAGGAUGGGGGUUAGGUGGUGGUUGUCUGCUGGUUCUGAGUGAGGGAGGAUGGAUGGUAGGUGGUGGUUGUCUGCUGGUUCUGAGUGUGGGAGUAUGGAGGAUGGGGGUUAGGUGGUGGUUGUCUGCUGGUUCUGUGUGGGAGGAUGGGAGAAUGGGGGUAGGUGGUGGUUGUCUGCUGGUUCUGAGUGUGGGAGUAUGGAGGAUGGGGGUAGGUGGUGGUUGUCUGCUGGUUCUGAGUGUAG